RNAcentral lists this ribosomal RNA (1343 nucleotides) under uncultured bacterium. Its description in RNAcentral is "16S ribosomal RNA". It matches the Rfam family "Bacterial small subunit ribosomal RNA", at positions 28 to 1378 of the family's 1533-position model. The record is from RNAcentral.
GACGAACGCUGGCGGCGUGCUUAACACAUGCAAGUCGAACGGAAAGGCCCUGCUUUUGUGGGGUGCUCGAGUGGCGAACGGGUGAGUAACACGUGAGUAACCUGCCCUUGACUUUGGGAUAACUUCAGGAAACUGGGGCUAAUACCGGAUAGGAGCUCCUGCUGCAUGGUGGGGGUUGGAAAGUUUCGGCGGUUGGGGAUGGACUCGUGGCUUAUCAGCUAGUUGGUGGGGUAGUGGCUUACCAAGGCUUUGACGGGUAGCCGGCCUGAGAGGGUGACCGGCCACAUUGGGACUGAGAUACGGCCCAGACUCCUACGGGAGGCAGCAGUGGGGAAUAUUGCACAAUGGGCGGAAGCCUGAUGCAGCAACGCCGCGUGCGGGAUGACGGCCUUCGGGUUGUAAACCGCUUUCGCCUGUGACGAAGCGUGAGUGACGGUAAUGGGUAAAGAAGCACCGGCUAACUACGUGCCAGCAGCCGCGGUGAUACGUAGGGUGCGAGCGUUGUCCGGAUUUAUUGGGCGUAAAGGGCUCGUAGGUGGUUGAUCGCGUCGGAAGUGUAAUCUUGGGGCUUAACCCUGAGCGUGCUUUCGAUACGGGUUGACUUGAGGAAGGUAGGGGAGAAUGGAAUUCCUGGUGGAGCGGUGGAAUGCGCAGAUAUCAGGAGGAACACCAGUGGCGAAGGCGGUUCUCUGGGCCUUUCCUGACGCUGAGGAGCGAAAGCGUGGGGAGCGAACAGGCUUAGAUACCCUGGUAGUCCACGCUGUAAACGGUGGGUACUAGGUGUGGGGUCCAUUCCACGGGUUCCGUGCCGUAGCUAACGCUUUAAGUACCCCGCCUGGGGAGUACGGCCGCAAGGCUAAAACUCAAAGGAAUUGACGGGGCCCCGCACAAGCGGCGGAGCAUGCGGAUUAAUUCGAUGCAACGCGUAGAACCUUACCUGGGUUUGACAUGGAUCGGGAGUGCUCAGAGAUGGGUGUGCCUCUUUUGGGGUCGGUUCACAGGUGGUGCAUGGCUGUCGUCAGCUCGUGUCGUGAGAUGUUGGGUUAAGUCCCGCAACGAGCGCAACCCUUGUUCACUGUUGCCAGCACGUUAUGGUGGGGACUCAGUGGAGACCGCCGGGGUCAACUCGGAGGAAGGUGGGGAUGACGUCAAGUCAUCAUGCCCCUUAUGUCCAGGGCUUCACGCAUGCUACAAUGGCUGGUACAGAGAGUGGCGAGCCUGUGAGGGUGAGCGAAUCUCGGAAAGCCGGUCUCAGUUCGGAUUGGGGUCUGCAACUCGACCUCAUGAAGUCGGAGUCGCUAGUAAUCGCAGAUCAGCAACGCUGCGGUGAAUACGUUCCCGGG